This 2121-nucleotide long non-coding RNA is filed under the name Homo sapiens (human). Its description in RNAcentral is "non-protein coding lnc-C15orf61-3:1". Lineage: Eukaryota; Metazoa; Chordata; Mammalia; Primates; Hominidae. The record is from RNAcentral.
GUUGUUUUGGUUGACACACAUGAAGAAAAUCUAGCCCUACACAGAUAAGUAUUUGGAAAAUGAAAGAAUAAUUUGUAUGUUUUAUAGCCUUUUCAGAUAGUUGUGUAUAUUCUUCUUUGACUUUAUACUAAACUCCACAAUGGUAAUUCUAAGUGUUAGUUGCAAUGUGGAAUCUACAAUCAUAUAAUUCUUUCCAGUGGUGCAAUCUUUACAAUACUAUUGAUCCUUUUCAUUACUGUAGGGGAUCCAUCAACAGAUGCCCAUUUAUAGGAUUCUCAGAAGCAACAAAUAAUAGGAUUUGGAAGAAAUAGAUAAUAAUUCUGUUAGUAGUCGAAACCUGCAAAUAUAUAAUAUAUCUAAAUAUGUAAUUUUUAAAAAAUCUAUGCCAGAACACCUUUCCUUACACUAGCAAAAGAAUUUUAUCUGAUGUUAACAGGCCAAAGACCAUUUCUACUUCUGCAAAGUGUGAUCAUAAUACAGCAAAAUAUUAUUAAAUAUAAAAUCUAUAUUCUCAACACAUUAGAGAAAUAAGGAAACAACUUUGGAAGGCAUAUUUAAAAAACCUUCCUAGGCUGUGUUCAUCACCAUAUGGUUUGUAGACCAGAGUUCUGUCAUUUAAACACCCAAAUCAUCAAUAAACACUACUUGAUAAUUAGGGAGCUAAGACAAUUUUAAUUUUCACCCUCACUGAAUACCCCAUAGUUGUAUGAGGUUUCCAGAGAACCCAAGUAUGGCCAUUUUGCUGUCUCUUCCACACUGCCAUGUAGUAUAGUAUCCCCAGGAAGAUUUGCUGGACAGAUACAACCCAGAAGAACAGAUCAGGCCUUUAAUCAAAAUAACUUUAAUCUGGUAGCUCCAAACCUCAACAGAACUGUAAAUCAUGAGUCCUUUCACACUCUUUAGUUAAAAAAAAAAAAAAUUGUGGGCAAAGAGAUCUGAUCAAAAAAGAGGAUAAGAGUGUCACAGAAUCCUUCCGUACAGAAAACCAUAGCCAAGAACAGCAUGGGAAGGCUCUGGAGACAAAAAGCUUAGUGUUAUUUUGUUGCUUUCUGGGAAGUAUAGACUGGAAAGUCUGAUAAGAAGACAAGACAGAAAAAUCGUUUUGUGAGUUAAUGAGGUAUUUUUCUCCCAGGCUCUGCCAGGUGAGUAUUACUUAUAAUUAAGUCAUCUUGCUAUAGACUUUUAUCUGAUUCAAACUCACCCCAAAUGGCUUAUUGAGUGUAAGGAAAGUGGCUUCUCUUGCUCCUCUUCUGACUUCUUUCUCUACUUCACCCUUCUCCACCUCUCUGUGGGUUGGGAUAGGCAGCACAGUAAAGAGGGAAUGAGCAUAGGUUUUGGAGUCAAAGCAACUUGAAUGGAAUUCCUACUCUGCUACUCAAUGCUGUGUGAUUGUGGGAAAGUUAUUUAAAUUAGCAGAACCUCAGUUUAUUUACAUAUAAAAGAAAACUAGUAAUUGUGUCCACCUCAUAGAUUAUGGUAUUAAAUGAGAAAAUUCAUGCAAAGAACUGACAUGAGCCAAGGCCUGUCUCCUACUGAGAGUUCAGUUAUCUUAGAGACCAUUAUCAUCAUUAUUAUGAUACUAGAGCUUGGAGUACUGUUCUAUCCCUUAAGCUCCCAUGUGUUUGAGCCCAGUUCUUGAGGAAAUGUUUCAAAUAAAAUGUCAAGUAGGUGUGUAUUCCAGGAAGUUUGCUUUCACAAAUGUUUUAUCUCCUUUAUCUGUCUUGUUCUAAAAUAUAUGUGUUUAUAUCACACAUAUACUAAACUUGGCCAAUUGGCCAGCCAAACAAAUGUAUUUCAUGUACAUUAAUGAGGAAAAAAUUAAAUGUUUUAUAGUUUAUAGCAGUAAAAAGCUCAACAAAGCCCCAAACAGUUAAAGUUUUCAAGACUGUAACUCUUUCUAGUCUUGAAACAAUUAAAACAUCAUUUGAGGAAUCAAUAAGUAAAUGCAUAAUUCUCUGAAAAAGAAAGAAAACAAUAUCAAGAUUCAAUUACAGGCAUUCAAGGAUUCUUUCUUUUGCCUUCAGAAGCCAGCAAAAUGAUAAUUUCAGAAUUUCUCAAAUAAGACUGUGCUUUUAAACAUGUCUUUGGUCUCAUUGGUUAAUGGUUUCUUCGCAUCAUAUU